GGUAAGAUGGCUCAGGGGUUAAGAGCACUGACUGCUGUUCCCGAGGUCCUGAGUUCAAGUCCCAGCAACCA
Molecule: transfer RNA, 71 nt
Filed under: Mus musculus (house mouse)
Lineage: Eukaryota; Metazoa; Chordata; Mammalia; Rodentia; Muridae
Description: tRNA-Ser
Source: RNAcentral